AAGCGGGGGGUGGGGUGGGUGGCUGGAGCAGCCAGUCAGGGAACGGCCUGCUGUUUGCUUACAGGUCGAGGUUUUUUCCUCUCUCUUCACUCCAACAGGAUUGGUUUGUUCCACGAGAAAGAGGCGUUUUCUUAAUCUCCUCCCUUCCCCACGCCUCCUAUCCCCCUCCCCGGCCCCACCUUCCAGAAACCUGACUAAUUGAAUUACUGGGAGUGCCGAGGCGCCCUCUCCUCCGCCCGAACCCAGCAGCCGCGCGUAACCCUUUGGAUGCUGAAUUCCGUCUGGGCUGAGGAAUGAUUUGACAUCUUUUUACCUGAGAGUGAGGGCUUUCAGUUACAAUGGGACCGGUUCCCACCCUGUAGCCGGCGAGCCAAAAUCUGUCUCCCAGGCCCCGCAGGUGACAUGAAGUCCCAGCAGACAGACUGGCAGGGAGCCUUAAUGAAUACGUGUUCUUGUAAAUCUCUGCCCUGUUCACAACGUGCAUUACCCGGCGCUGGGUUAUCUUGGAAACCUGAGCUUCUCUCAGGUGCCUUUCAACUCGCCUCUUCCUACCAGGGACUUAAAGGUUCACGAACAGGAAGCAAGACUUUUCUUUACAGUGAUGCUCUGAAAACACGUUUGUUGUUGUUUUUUUUUUUUUUAAUUUUUAAUUUUUUUUUUUUAUUGAGAGAAUCACAGUAUAAAGUGAUUACAAUUCAAUGCGAUCCUUCAGAAGGAAGGAAAUGAAUGCGGCAGGGGAGUCCAUCAGAAAUACCUUACACCUUUUGCAUUUCAACCCCGAGGUUGCUUCGCUGCCCACUCCCCGAAGGAUAAAGUCUUUGAACGAACCCUAUGCGGGAAGAAUCGGAGGUCGGGAUAGGAGUUGCUUUAUUAUUGGAAAAGGCCUCCCGUUCCCGGACCUCUAGAGCAGGUUGCAGCUCCUUGGUCCCCGGCGGCCACCGAAGUACGAUCGCUUGACAGAGAGACAGUCCCCGGCGCUUCGGGACGCGUCCUCCUGUCCUCUAGCGCCCGGGAAGACAGCCCGGAGCCCGGCGCUCUGGGGCACCAACCCCUGGAGACUUGCCCUUGCGGGGCUCCGAGGGCUCGGGCCUUCAUGGUAUUAUUCCCUCCUGCUCUCUAGGGAGUUUGCUGCCUCUGUGGGAAGGGCUGAUCCCAAGAAAGCAAGCAGUUUAGUUUUGCUUUCAAACCUUCCUGUUUCUCCCUUUACUUAUUAGCCCAAUAAAAUCAAAUAUCACGUCCUCCCUCCUGUCUUUACAGUUUUCUAACUCAGACUUGCCAGGCGCUUCGAAGCUGUUUGGAAGCGUCCAGACGCCCUCCAGUGGUGGGCCUGAAGUCCGCACCCAGCGGGGGUAUUGCCUGCAUCUCAGCCCGGAUUGAGUUCCAUGGAGAAACUGGGGUCAAGAUCAGUAACGACUUGAAGAGAAAGCAACAGCUCACAUCGGCAUGGAACUACCUGGACGUAAUGAGCUCUUGCCUAAAAGGAUGAUGCAUCUCUUAGCCUUUCUGAAGGAGCUGUACUAAGUGCUCAGAUGACUGAGGCAGUUUUGCAGGAAAUGUUCAGGACUCUUUUAAGGGACAUGUGUAGCUUUAGGAAGAAGAGAAUUCACACUCCUGUCUUGGGGAAAAUGCUGAUCCUCAUCAGAAAGUCUUUUUAGUCAGGGAAAUAUCAGGUAUCAGGGAGUUAGCAAGCUGGCUUCCUGUGGUGUCAAAGCCAAAGGACUAAAGAAAAAGAAAUUAUAUCCAGUUAUUUCUAUUUGAAACUCAUACUGCAAAUGUGAAAAUUCAACAUAUCAAAAGAACGUAGAUGUCCUAAUAUUUUCAAUAUCUCUAAUUUGCUUAAAGUCUGGAUAAUCCAAUUUUAAACAGAAAAAAAAAUCAUACGUUAUGGUCUUAAAAUGAUUCAAGGAGUUGGAAUAAAAGAUACUGGAAUUUA
This is a long non-coding RNA of Lynx canadensis (Canada lynx), 1933 nucleotides long. RefSeq lists it as uncharacterized. Lineage: Eukaryota; Metazoa; Chordata; Mammalia; Carnivora; Felidae. The record is from RefSeq and is a predicted model, not a curated record. The transcript is spliced from 2 exons.